RNAcentral lists this long non-coding RNA (455 nucleotides) under Amborella trichopoda. Its description in RNAcentral is "long non-coding RNA (ATRI_LNC002627)". The record is from RNAcentral. Lineage: Eukaryota; Viridiplantae; Streptophyta; Magnoliopsida; Amborellales; Amborellaceae.
ACCCUAAGACUUCUCUCCUCCUAUUGUUGGUGGUCCUUUGAUAGUAGUUUCACAUGCUCCAAUGAGAUCUCGCUUUCCAUUGUUUUCUUUCCCUCAACUCCCUUAGAUUUAAAAAUUCAGAAAUGAAUUUCUCUAUGGUAUGGGCAUAUUAUUCCUUUAUUGAGAAAGUAUGCAACAAGGUUACUUGUUACUGGUACUAGAAGGUCACAAUUAUUAUAGUUUAAAUAAUGUGAAAGAGGGUGAUUGUUAGUGUGCCAUUGACCAGAUUUGAAGUUGAAAAAUAAAUUUUUGAAACAUUGUGAUAUACUCUUAACCACCAAAUUUUAUAUAUGAUGACAAUAAAUGAUUGUGACAUUCUUGCCGUUGAAGUAUACAAUACCCAUAUGAUUAGAAUAUUUUGCAAUAGAACUAGCUUCUUCAAUACAAGUUGUUGGCCGUUUAUAGUACAAAGUACA